CCCUACGGGAGGCAGCAGUGGGGAAUAUUGGACAAUGGAGAAAGCCUGAUCCAGCAAUGCCGCGUGGGUGAAGAAGGCAUUGGGGUUGUAAAGCAAUUUUGUCUGGGAAGAAGUCGAGGGGGUUAAUACCUUGGGGGGAAACGGUACCCGAAGAAAAGCACCGGUAAUUUUUU
RNAcentral lists this ribosomal RNA (173 nucleotides) under uncultured bacterium. RNAcentral's name for it is "partial 16S ribosomal RNA". It matches the Rfam family "Bacterial small subunit ribosomal RNA", at positions 337 to 505 of the family's 1533-position model. The record is from RNAcentral.